CUACCAUGGCAGUCACGGGUAACGGAGAAUUAGGGUUCGAUUCCGGAGAAGGAGCCUGAGAAACGGCUACUACAACUACGGUUUGGCAGCAGGGAAGAAAAUUGGCCAAUCCUAAUUCAGGGAGCCAGUGACAAGAAAUAGCAGACCGGGAAACUUAGUUUCUACGGUACUGAAAUGAGAACAGUGUUAAUCUCUUAGCGAGAAACAAUUGGAGGGCAAGCCUGGUGCCAGCAGCCGCGGUAAUUCCAGCUCCAAUAGCGUAUAUUAAAGUUGUUGCAGUUAAAAAGCUCGUAGUUGAACUUCUGUCCAGGUUCGUCUUGGCUCGCCAGGACAAUUCUGGACAUACGUCUGCAAGCUAAAAUCGGCCUUCACUGGUACGACUUAGUAAGUAGACAUUUUACUGUGAAAAAAUUAGAGUGUUUCAGGCAGGUUUUAGCCCGUAUACAUUAGCAUGGAAUAAUGGAAUAGGACUAAGUCCAUUUUAUUGGUUCUUGGAUUUGGUAAUGAUUAAUAGGGACAGUUGGGGGCAUUAGUAUUUAAUAGUCAGAGGUGAAAUUCUUGGAUUUAUUAAGGACUAACUAAUGCGAAAGCAUUUGCCAAAGAUGUUUUCAUUAAUCAAGAACGAAAGUUAGGGGAUC
RNAcentral lists this ribosomal RNA (638 nucleotides) under uncultured ciliate. RNAcentral describes it as "SSU rRNA". It matches the Rfam family "Eukaryotic small subunit ribosomal RNA", at positions 341 to 999 of the family's 1831-position model. The record is from RNAcentral. Lineage: Eukaryota; Ciliophora.